CUUCCGUAGGGGGAACCUGCGGAAGGAUCAUUACUGUGAUUUAGUACUACACUGCGUGAGCGGAACGAAAACAACAACACCUAAAAUGUGGAAUAUAGCAUAUAGUCGACAAGAGAAAUCUACGAAAAACAAACAAAACUUUCAACAACGGAUCUCUUGGUUCUCGCAUCGAUGAAGAGCGCAGCGAAAUGCGAUACCUAGUGUGAAUUGCAGCCAUCGUGAAUCAUCGAGUUCUUGAACGCACAUUGCGCCCCUCGGCAUUCCGGGGGGCAUGCCUGUUUGAGCGUCGUUUCCAUCUUGCGCGUGCGCAGAGUUGGGGGAGCGGAGCGGACGACGUGUAAAGAGCGUCGGAGCUGCGACUCGCCUGAAAGGGAGCGAAGCUGGCCGAGCGAACUAGACUUUUUUUCAGGGACGCUUGGCGGCCGAGAGCGAGUGUUGCGAGACAACAAAAAGCUCGACCUCAAAUCAGGUAGGAAUACCCGCUGAACUUAAGCAUAUCAAUAAGACGGAGGA
RNAcentral lists this ribosomal RNA (513 nucleotides) under Pichia kudriavzevii. Its description in RNAcentral is "eukaryotic LSU rRNA". The stretch from base 137 to 289 matches the Rfam family "5.8S ribosomal RNA". Lineage: Eukaryota; Fungi; Ascomycota; Pichiomycetes; Pichiales; Pichiaceae. The record is from RNAcentral.